UGCUCGAGCAUAAAGGCAGACAAAUAUUUGUACAAGUACAUAUACAAGGGGCAUGAUCGUGCUUCCUUCUCAGUUGACCCGGCAACAACAGAUGGUGUUGUGAUAAAUGAGAUUCGGCAAUACAGGGAUGCAAGCGACCUCCUAAGGGAGGUUCAACAUGAGUUGUCAGUCGGUGUGGAUCGAGAGCAUUUAGAUAUGUAUACAUCCGUGAACAUUGAGCAGAGGGCUGGGUUUGAGGAAAUCUUGGAUCACGUGGUGAACAAUAGGAAACAUGUUUUCUUUGUUGAUGGUCCUGGUGGCACGGGGAAGACUUAUAUCUACAAGGUGCUUCUUGCUAAAGUGCGUUCAUUGGGGAAAAUAGCUAUUGCAACAGCAACAUCUGGAAUAUCACAUCAAUCAUGCCUGGUGGACGUACCGCCCACUCCAUGUUCAAAAUUCUGA
Molecule: ribosomal RNA, 441 nt
Filed under: Triticum aestivum (bread wheat)
Lineage: Eukaryota; Viridiplantae; Streptophyta; Magnoliopsida; Poales; Poaceae
Description: partial small subunit ribosomal RNA
Source: RNAcentral